This 639-nucleotide ribosomal RNA is filed under the name uncultured Acidovorax sp. RNAcentral describes it as "bacterial SSU rRNA". It matches the Rfam family "Bacterial small subunit ribosomal RNA", at positions 897 to 1533 of the family's 1533-position model. Lineage: Bacteria; Pseudomonadati; Pseudomonadota; Betaproteobacteria; Burkholderiales; Comamonadaceae. The record is from RNAcentral.
AAACUUAAAGGAAUUGACGGGGACCCGCACAAGCGGUGGAUGAUGUGGUUUAAUUCGAUGCAACGCGAAAAACCUUACCCACCUUUGACAUGUACGGAAUCCUUUAGAGAUAGAGGAGUGCUCGAAAGAGAACCGUAACACAGGUGCUGCAUGGCUGUCGUCAGCUCGUGUCGUGAGAUGUUGGGUUAAGUCCCGCAACGAGCGCAACCCUUGUCAUUAGUUGCUACAUUUAGUUGGGCACUCUAAUGAGACUGCCGGUGACAAACCGGAGGAAGGUGGGGAUGACGUCAAGUCCUCAUGGCCCUUAUAGGUGGGGCUACACACGUCAUACAAUGGAUGGUACAAAGGGUCGCCAACCCGCGAGGGGGAGCCAAUCCCAUAAAGCCAUUCGUAGUCCGGAUCGCAGUCUGCAACUCGACUGCGUGAAGUCGGAAUCGCUAGUAAUCGUGGAUCAGAAUGUCACGGUGAAUACGUUCCCGGGUCUUGUACACACCGCCCGUCACACCAUGGGAGCGGGUUCUGCCAGAAGUAGUUAGCCUAACCGCAAGGAGGGCGAUUACCACGGCAGGGUUCGUGACUGGGGUGAAGUCGUAACAAGGUAGCCGUAUCGGAAGGUGCGGCUGGAUCACCUCCUUUCUG